Molecule: long non-coding RNA, 619 nt
Organism: Monopterus albus (swamp eel)
Lineage: Eukaryota; Metazoa; Chordata; Actinopteri; Synbranchiformes; Synbranchidae
Exons: 6
Source: RefSeq, a predicted model, not a curated record
UUAUCAUAUGCGAGCAUCCCAGUAAAUCGAUGGCAAAAUGGCCGCGUCCUAAUAUGUCCGAAUGAUAACCAACCAUUGGUACAGAGGGAAGGAUUUAAAUUUCUAAAAGGAGACGAGUCUUAUGUGUAGAACAUAAUCCGCACAUAGAGGAAUGAAUACACCUUCCGGUGCAGUAGGUGGCGCCAUUUAACCUAAGAAGAAGAAGGUCCGAAGUUGUGCUUGCAGCGUUUUCAUUCCUGUACUUGGCAUUCGACGGGAAAAUAACAGAAUCCAGCUCCUUGGGCACCUCCUGUUUUUUUGAUAGAUGCUGAACCCAGUGCACACCAUCACUCCCACUUGAGACAACCUCCAUGGCACAGUUGGACCGUCGGUUAACCCAGAUGAUGUGUGUUUUCCAGAAGUUUUGACCACUGGGAUCCUUUUACACGGGCUACAAGCGGCAUCACAGCACGGGCCCCUCAUUCAGGAGUAUAUGGUAUGCAUGAGGAUCCUGUGGCUGCUGAAGUUGACAUACGCGGCACAGAAAUACCACAGGCAUCAAACUCCAGGUUUGUGAGCUGGUCCAAGUGGUUAUUUGGCCCAUGUAGUACUUCACAUCUGCAGGUAGUAUGGACAUACA